GUGGGGAUGCGCAGAAGCAGAAGUGAUCACUUUGAGGGACUCGGAACCGAUGUUCAAUCUAGCUGUCCCUGCCAGGAGAAGUCUUUGUACCUCCACCCUCUGGCAAAGGGAGGAAUGAGAAAAGACAAGAUUAAGAAAAAUAUUCAGAGGAAAGGGACAGAGAGUGAGUUAGCUGGGACCGGAAGCGACACACUAGAAUUCCUGGUUCCUCCCCCUCCACCCAAGACCCCUCCCAAUGAACAAUCCACGGAAGAAGGGUACAGGGAUACAUAAAGGAAGAAUGAAGAACAACAAUGUUCGUGAUAACACAGUCUGGCAACAGCACAACAUGACCC
Molecule: long non-coding RNA, 335 nt
Organism: Mustela erminea (ermine)
Lineage: Eukaryota; Metazoa; Chordata; Mammalia; Carnivora; Mustelidae
Exons: 3
Source: RefSeq, a predicted model, not a curated record